Molecule: unclassified non-coding RNA, 821 nt
Filed under: Leishmania donovani
Lineage: Eukaryota; Euglenozoa; Kinetoplastea; Trypanosomatida; Trypanosomatidae
Description: gene:LdHU3.31.5000(CDS-product:hypothetical_prote in)
Source: RNAcentral
CUGCAUGUGCUGUAGUGAGAUUUGGGGCGCGCGGAGGAAUCAUCAUGAACAGAGAGGUGUGCUGGCAUGAGGCUCCCGUGUCUCUCCAUAUCGCUGUCGAAGCUGCGCACUCGACCGGAUCUAUCCGUGACGACCAGCACAGCUCUAGCAGCACUGCGGGGCGGCAUCGUCACCGGUUGACCUCGUCGCUACCAUUCGAUGCCACAUCGGCGCAGCAAAUCCUCUUCUUUGCCGCCGAAGGUGCGUUCGUGCACGCGGCACCGCUCCACAUCACCGUCGCAGAGGCGAAAUCGACGCAUUCGGGAACAUCGAAGGCGGCAAUGGUCAACGUCGUCGCCGGGGCUGUGGAGACCACCACAGAAGAAUCUAUCAUGGCGACAGAGGGGCCAAGCGCCGCCGCUAGUUUUGCGCUGCCUCCGGCGUUAUCUGCAGACACGACUAAGGGUGUGGCUGCCGAAAUGACUAUAGCGGAGGCGACAGGGAAAGAUGAGGAAUGGACAGACGCCGUGGACGAGGAAGCCAUGGCCUUCUUCAAUGAUGAGUAAGUUCCAUGAAGGAAAAUAAGUGAAAAGGAAAGAGAAGCUGGAAGGAAGCAAUGCAUGUGUGUGUGUGUGUGUGUCUGUAUCUGUGGCUGCUUGGUGCACCUGUAUAUUACGAUCAUCUCUGCAGAAGAGAACCGAAAGAAGCGUUCCACCUAUCCCCCUCCCCGCCGUCACCAAAACGAAAAGACGCACGAGGGGCGAGAAGCUGCUCACGGCCCAAGCUCUCUUCUUGUGUUCAGCGCAGAGGGGGGGUUGUACGAUCGACUAGCACGUCUCCAG